This 783-nucleotide ribosomal RNA is filed under the name Vibrio sp. TMPB1044. Its description in RNAcentral is "partial 23S ribosomal RNA". It matches the Rfam family "Bacterial large subunit ribosomal RNA", at positions 1441 to 2206 of the family's 2925-position model. The record is from RNAcentral. Lineage: Bacteria; Pseudomonadati; Pseudomonadota; Gammaproteobacteria; Vibrionales; Vibrionaceae.
GUACUUCUUACAAUUGCGAUGGGGGGACGGAGAAGGCUAGGUGGGCCUGGCGACGGUUGUCCAGGUUCAAGUACGUAGGCGGGUGGUUUAGGUAAAUCCGGACCGCUAUUAACGCUGAGAUACGAUGUCGAGCUACUACGGUAGUGAAGUCAUUGAUGCCAUGCUUCCAGGAAAAGCCUCUAAGCUUCAGAUUGUAAGGAAUCGUACCCCAAACCGACACAGGUGGUCGGGUAGAGAAUACCAAGGCGCUUGAGAGAACUCGGGUGAAGGAACUAGGCAAAAUGGUACCGUAACUUCGGGAGAAGGUACGCUCUUAUCAGUGAAGUCCCUUGCGGAUGGAGCAGACGAGAGUCGCAGAUACCAGGUGGCUGCAACUGUUUAUUAAAAACACAGCACUGUGCAAAAUCGUAAGAUGACGUAUACGGUGUGACGCCUGCCCGGUGCCGGAAGGUUAAUUGAUGGGGUUAGACUUCGGUCGAAGCUCUUGAUCGAAGCCCCGGUAAACGGCGGCCGUAACUAUAACGGUCCUAAGGUAGCGAAAUUCCUUGUCGGGUAAGUUCCGACCUGCACGAAUGGCGUAAUGAUGGCCACGCUGUCUCCACCCGAGACUCAGUGAAAUUGAAAUCGCUGUGAAGAUGCAGUGUACCCGCGGCUAGACGGAAAGACCCCGUGAACCUUUACUACAGCUUGGCACUGAACAUUGAACCUACAUGUGUAGGAUAGGUGGGAGACUUUGAAACCGCGUCGCUAGAUGUGGUGGAGUCGUCCUUGAAAUACCACCCU